This 503-nucleotide ribosomal RNA is filed under the name uncultured bacterium. RNAcentral describes it as "bacterial SSU rRNA". It matches the Rfam family "Bacterial small subunit ribosomal RNA", at positions 15 to 518 of the family's 1533-position model. The record is from RNAcentral.
GAUCCUGGCUCAGGAUGAACGCUGGCGGCGUGCUUAACACAUGCAAGUCGAACGAAUUACUUAAAAGAAGUCUUCGGAUGGAAAUUAAAGUAGUUAGUGGCGGACGGGUGAGUAACGCGUGGGAAACCUGCCCUAUACAGGGGGAUAGCCUCGGGAAACCGGGAUUAACACCCCAUAAAGCUCUAGAAUCGCAUGAUUCAAGAGUCAAAACUCCGGUGGUAUAGGAUGGUCCCGCGUCCCAUUAGCUAGUUGGUGAGGUAACGGCCCACCAAGGCGACGAUGGGUAGCCGGCCUGAGAGGGUGAACGGCCACACUGGAACUGAGACACGGUCCAGACUCCUACGGGAGGCAGCAGUGGGGAAUAUUGCACAAUUGGGGGGAAACCCUGAUGCAGCGACGCCGCGUGAGCGAAGAAGGCCUUCGGGUCGUAAAGCUCUGUCCUAAGGGAAGAAAAAGACGGUACCUUAGGAGGAAGCCCCGGCUAACUACGUGCCAGCAGCAGC